CGGGCAUAAUGGAAUAUAAUAUUUUGAUUCAUUUGCUUAAUACUAUGCUUUAAGUGUACUCUUGUUAUGUCAAUUCGAUGCUUUAUUUGUAGAACUCUUAGCCACGCUUUGCCAUCUUUAUUAUUUAAGCGUGUUUCCAGACCCCACGACGAGGACGUGGUUCUACCUUGGGGUCCAUAUAAUUUUUUUUUUUUUUUUUUUUUAAUUUUUUUUAGUCAUUAUAUAUGUAUAUGUAAUAUGUACAUAACAUUUAUACAUUUUGUACAUGGUGGUCCCAUUUUGAUAAGCCGUAGAUUUUU
This 299-nucleotide long non-coding RNA is filed under the name Mytilus galloprovincialis (Mediterranean mussel). The record is from RNAcentral. Lineage: Eukaryota; Metazoa; Mollusca; Bivalvia; Mytilida; Mytilidae.